RNAcentral lists this ribosomal RNA (491 nucleotides) under uncultured bacterium. RNAcentral's name for it is "bacterial SSU rRNA". It matches the Rfam family "Bacterial small subunit ribosomal RNA", at positions 28 to 504 of the family's 1533-position model. The record is from RNAcentral.
GAUAAACGCUGGCGGCGUGCUUAACACAUGCAAGUCGAACGGAGUACUUCUCCCGAGACCGAGGAAGCUUGCUUCCAAAGAAUCAUUUGAAGUACUUAGUGGCGGACGGGUGAGUAACGCGUGGGUAACCUGCCUCACACAGGGGGAUAACAGUUGGAAACGACUGUUAAUACCGCAUAAGCGCACAGUAUCGCAUGAUACAGUGUGAAAAACUCCGGUGGUGUGAGAUGGACCCGCGUCUGAUUAGCUAGUUGGUGAGGUAACGGCCCACCAAGGCGACGAUCAGUAGCCGGCCUGAGAGGGUGUACGGCCACAUUGGGACUGAGACACGGCCCAAACUCCUACGGGAGGCAGCAGUGGGGAAUAUUGGGCAAUGGGCGACAGCCUGACCCAGCAACGCCGCGUGAGGGAAGAACGUUUUCGGAUCGUAAACCUCUGUCCUUGGUGAAGAGGAAGAGACGGUAGCCAAGGAGGAAGCUCCGGCUAACUAC